This 457-nucleotide ribosomal RNA is filed under the name uncultured bacterium. Its description in RNAcentral is "bacterial SSU rRNA". It matches the Rfam family "Bacterial small subunit ribosomal RNA", at positions 340 to 786 of the family's 1533-position model. The record is from RNAcentral.
UACGGAAGGCAGCAGUGGGGAAUAUUGCACAAUGGGCGAAAGCCUGAUGCAGCUAUGCCGCGUGUAUGAAGAAGGCCUUAGGGUUGUAAAGUACUUUCAUCGGGGAGGAAAAAACAAAACUAAUAAUUUUAUUUCUUGACGUUACCCGAAAAAGAAGCACCGGCUAACUCCGUGCCAGCAGCCGCGGUAAUACGGAGGGUGCUAGCGUUAAUCAGAAUUACUGGGCGUAAAGAGCACGUAGGUGGUUUUUUUAAGUCAGAUGUGAAAUCCCUGGGCUUAACCUGGAACUGCAUUUUGAAACUGAAAUACUAGAGUAUCGUAGAGGGAGGUAGAAUUCUAGGUGUAGCGGUGAAAUGCGUAGAUAUCUGGAGGAAUACCUGUGGCGAAAGCGGCCUCCUAAACGAAUACUGACACUGAGGUGCGAAAGCGUUGGGGAGCAAACAGGGAUUAGGAUACC